UCUGCUAAGCUAUAAAUUAUUUACCUGCAGUGCUAGCUUGAAUACAGCUGGAAAUAACAUCUGCAGCACAGUGGAACCGUGUUCCAGGAGCAACCAACACCGACAAAACACAGGCUGAGGAUGCUGAGCGAAAAGCCUUGACUAGAGCAAGCUGAAGCCCUCAGUAUGGUUUGUCCUGCUGUUGGCAGCUCCACGAGCAAGUUUGGGUAGGAGACAUAACAACACCAGCGGGAAGAGGAAGUGAUAGAUUCUUUGUUCUGUUUAUACUUCCACUGCCACUUCACUGAAGAAGCCACAGCCUCAAGAUAAACAUAGCUCUUCUAGAAAGUGUAGCGGCAUGGAGCAAUGUGGAAAAGGAAAAGUGCCACAUGGCUACACCUGAGAGGACCCGCUAAUGGCCUGCUCUGAAGACAACAUUCCCAUCACCUGUGGAAAAUCAGAGCCGGUUGGUUUUAUAAGGGUGAAACAAACCAGGGGAAAAAGAUCAAAUCCAUUCUCCGCAGAGCUGGGAGCCAGAGGAAGGGGCUUCAGUGAUGCCACCCCUCUAAGAACUACUCCAGCCUCUGAGUUAAAACAGCAGCUACAGCCCCUCUGUGCCCCCUGUGCAAAGUAUUAAGGAAACUAGUUAUAAGUAACUAAGAUCAUUUGGCCCCGCUGCAUGACCUGCCACCGUCACUGCAUUGCACAUUGGGCUGGGCUGGAGUUUUCAUACUCUUCAGGGGUGCAGUUACUCUGUCCAUCAAGCAACACUCCUGCAGGUCUGCAGUGUUGCCGAGGGCCUUGCCUAGGUCCCAAGUGCACAGGUAAAUCCUGUUCCAUGGCCAGGAGUUUGGAAUAGAAAAUCCUGAAAAGAUUUACCAGCCCCACCAUCGAACAUUCUGUGGACAUACCAAGGACUGUUCCGGCUGGUGUUUCUGGAUCCAAUUCUUCCCCCCUCACAAUAAAAUCGGAAUUCAUACCUGAGUGCGACUGGCAAUGCUCCCUCCUGCGUGCUCUCUUUCUUAAAGAAACAAUUCAUCUGAUUUUCUCCACGUAUUUAAGCCGUGUGGGUAGAUCUCUAAAAGGCUGGGAUAUAUGUUGUUGGCAUGAG
Molecule: long non-coding RNA, 1090 nt
Organism: Caretta caretta (loggerhead turtle)
Lineage: Eukaryota; Metazoa; Chordata; Testudines; Cheloniidae
Source: RefSeq, a predicted model, not a curated record